AAAGUAAGGUGUGCUUUUCAAGAAGGAGAAGAGGAAGAGUACAUAAACAUUCUAAAAACAGAAUGGCGAUUAAUCUUUACCAUAGUUAAGGUGUGCUUUUCAAGAAGGAGAAGAGGAAGAGUACAUAAACAUUCUAAAAACAGAAUGGCGAUUAAUCUUUACCAUAGUUAAGAACCUAGAAAAUUGGAAGAGAUGAUGGUUGCUGGUCGUGGCGAGGAAAAUGAAGAUGGAGAAGCUGCUGAGUAUAAGACUUAUGUUGUUAGUAUAAGAAUUUAAUGUUGUUAGUGUAGAUUCUAUGUAAAAUGUAUGUUUUAUGAAUUUAGUGCAAUGUAUAUUUUGGUUGUAAAUCAAUUUGCAGUUUAAAUAUUUCAUCAUAAAAUCACAAGAUAACACAACAACUAAUAUGAUAAAAAAAAAAUGUAAUACUAAUAACAAAUCAGAAAAAAACAAAAAUAAUAUUUUUUACCUCAAGAUCUAAACCCUAAACAUGCCAUAAACCCCAACCCUAAUAUUUUUAACCUCAGGAUAUAUAAAUGUAAAACUAAAGGAUAUAAAUGAUAAUUAAAGUUUCGUAAUAAUAUAUUUAUAUAAUAGUUUAUGGGUGUAUAUAUUUAGUGUAAUAUUACUAUAUGGAGUUUGGUGUACUUAAAACCCUAAACCCCAAAACUUAUAUCGUACUUCAAACUUUAAACUCUAAACUCAAAAUUUUAUUUUUUCACAAUUCACUCUUAAUUUUUUUUUUUUCAAAAAUUAAAUCUAAACCCCCAAACCUAAACUAUAGAUAUACAUAUAUAUACCAUACCCUAAAUUAAUCAUAUAUCAUAAACUCUAACUAAUAAAUUUGAAACUCUAAUCUUCAUUAAAACUCUAACACAGUUUAAAAGGUCCAAAAUUUAUUCAUUUUAAAAAUCUAAUCUUAAAUUUAAAUCCUAAACUUCAAACACUAAAUCUUAAAAUCUACACUCUAUAUUUAAUACCUUAAACCCCCAACCUUAAUCUCUACAUAGAAAAUCAUAAAUCCAAUAUUGACAAACUUAUAAUAGAAACUUUAAAUUUAAACUCCAACUAUAUUCUAAAACUCAAAUCAUAUAUUUAAUCUUAAAUCUUAACCCUAACCCCUAAACCACAUAUCUCAUUUUAACAUAUAUCUUAAAACAUUAAACCUUAAUUUUUAAAUGAAUUAUAUUUCUGUAAAUAAAUUAAAAUUUCAAAUAAAAAAAUUUAGAUUUCAAAAUUUUAAUUAUUAUACCAAAUUAUUUAAAUCUUAAAAAUAAUUUUUAUAAUAGCUAUAAAUAGAUAAGAAGACAAUUUGUAUUGUUUUUUUUAAACCAUUGAUUGAUUUGAAUCAAAUGACCAAAAUCACUCUUGUAUCUAUCCUCACCAUUUUUUCCUUUGGUUAAAAAACGUUGUGUGUGGAUUGAUAAUCUUAAUCAUACAUUAGAUAUUUUGAAGGGUUCAGAUUAAAUCUUUUUGUGUGUUGUUUCUCUCUCUCUCUCCCUCUCUCUGAGGCUUCUUCACUUUCUUCUUCUCUGUUUCCCUCUCUCUCACGCUUCUUCGCUUUCUUCUUCUCUGUUUCUCUCUCUCUCUCUCUCCCUCCCUCUCUCUGAAACAAAGAACAACGAGAUUCAAACCCCGUCUUCGUCUCCACCACAGGUCGUUGUUACAACCACAGUUCCUAAUCUCACAGAUCUUGUCUCUGUAAUCUCUAUCUUCAUCACCACUAAGCCUUGUCACCACCAAACCUCGUCUUCGUCUCCACCACAGUUCAUCGUCGUUACAACCACAGCUCUGCGGGUGUGUUUUAUUUAUUUGGGACAAAGUUCUUAUCGUCUACCGUUAAAUAAAAUGGAGGAGGCUGAAGAAGCUUGGUGGUGGUGGUCUCGCCACCGACUCCAUAUCAGAAAAAGCAUGGCUCGAGACAAGAAGACAAAGGGCUGGUGAUUCAAGAACAGAACAUAACUCGUGCUCUGUUUUUUCUGUGGUGAUGCGACGACAGCACUCUGGAGGCUGAAGGCGGAUGUUCUGGAGGCUGAAGGCGGAUGUUCUGGAGGCUUGAGGCUGGAGGCUAGAGGCGGAGGAACUAGGGUUGUAGGCAGAGGCUUAGAUUUUUUUUUUGUCGACAGGCAGAGGCUUAGAUUAGGUUUAGGUUAAUUAUGUUUUGGUUAAUUAUUUUUUUGUUUAAUGUUUUAAUUUGUUUUUGGUUUAAUUCGUUUUUUAAUUACUUGUAUACUGAUUUUAAUUAAUAAAUAAAAUUUAAUUUUUAA
Long non-coding RNA from Brassica napus (rape), 2264 nucleotides. RefSeq lists it as uncharacterized. The record is from RefSeq and is a predicted model, not a curated record. The transcript has 3 exons. NCBI's taxonomy places the organism in Eukaryota, Viridiplantae, Streptophyta, Magnoliopsida, Brassicales, Brassicaceae.